GCGCGAGUGGCGAAAUUGGUAGACGCGCUACUCUCAGGAGGUAGUGCCUAUUACUGGCGUGUCAGUUCGAGUCUGAUCUCGCGCA
This is a non-coding RNA of Bacteroidales bacterium WCE2008, 85 nucleotides long. Lineage: Bacteria; Pseudomonadati; Bacteroidota; Bacteroidia; Bacteroidales. The record is from Rfam.